GUUUGAAAAGAAGCAAGCCGUCCGCAUUCAUUCAAUCUCACAUCCGACCACUCAAACUAACCCUAAUCCUGCAUUCCAUUGUUUCCAUCAUGGGAAAUCUAAGUGACGCUCUCAAAUUAACAGGAACAUUGCGCAGAAGAUAUGUCCUGGGCAAUGGACUGAGAAAACGGGCAGAGAUUUGGAGGUAUUUGUGCAUGCUCUAUAUUACAGUUGAAAAGUGUAUAACAGCUUUCCAAUGCUGUUACUUGUGGCGAACACCUUUUUGCUUGAGUUGAUGCGUGCCCGCAGGUGGAAUAAUGUCACAUGUCACACACAUUUUCUGUUGUUUUGAUUUAUUUACUCAUUCAUCAUUUUAUGUGCGCACCUCUCCUAAUCAACCCACCCAUUAAAUAGACAGGCACAAUAGCACCAUCUGCUGGCACAAAAAAUACAUAACAAUAAACUGCAAAACCCCAAUCUGGCUCCUACAAAGUGUAUGUGACAAGAUGAUUAACGUUUGCUUUUGUUAAAUCAGGGCUUCCCCAGCCAGGACUUCGGCUCAGACUGUGGCAUAUUCAUGUUGAUGGUAGGUCAUAACGAGCUGUAAUGCACAAAUAUUGUAUCUAGAAUAACUUUCCAACAUGGACUUUUUUAAAGUUAUCUCACAUGUUGUCUCAUAAUUUUUUUUUUAAAGUCUGCCAUGUACAUCGUUAUGGAGUCACAGUUUGACUACUCAGUU
Xyrichtys novacula (pearly razorfish) is the source of this 718-nucleotide non-coding RNA. Lineage: Eukaryota; Metazoa; Chordata; Actinopteri; Labriformes; Labridae. The record is from the annotation of a GenBank genome assembly.